Molecule: ribosomal RNA, 254 nt
Filed under: uncultured bacterium
Lineage: Bacteria
Description: partial 16S ribosomal RNA
Rfam family: Bacterial small subunit ribosomal RNA
Source: RNAcentral
CACGUAGGGACCAAGCGUUGUCCGGAUUCAUUGGGCGUAAAGAGCUCGUAGGCGGUUCAGUAAGUCGGGUGUGAAACCUCCAGGCUCAACCUGGAGACGCCACCCGAUACUGCUGUGACUAGAGUCCAGUAGGGGAGCGUGGAAUUCCUGGUGUAGCGGUGAAAUGCGCAGAUAUCAGGAGGAACACCAGCGGCGAAGGCGGCGCUCUGGGCUGGAACUGACGCUGAGGAGCGAAAGCGUGGGGAGCAAACAGG